RNAcentral lists this small RNA (676 nucleotides) under Pan troglodytes (chimpanzee). Its description in RNAcentral is "retained intron". Lineage: Eukaryota; Metazoa; Chordata; Mammalia; Primates; Hominidae. The record is from RNAcentral.
GGACAGCAGGACCCGUCUGGGGCAAUGGGGACCCAGCCUGGGCUGGGCAGGCCCCACAUAGGGCACACAGGUGGCUCUGGGUCAAGGAAGGGGCUGGGUCAGGGUCGGGAAGGACAUGAUGUGUGAUGGGGCCACCUGCACCUCGCUAGGAAGCUGGAGAAGCUUCGAGAGAAGGAGCGUAAGAAGGAAGCCAAGCGGAAGAUCUCCAGCCUGUCCUUCACCCUGGAGGAGGAAGAAGAGGGAGGCGAGGAGGAAGAGGAGGCGGCCAUGUAUGAGGAGGAGAUGGAAGAGAUCACCACAAAGAAGAGAAAACUGGGGAAGAACCCAGACGUUGACACAAGCUUCUUGCCUGAUCGAGACCGUGAGGAGGAGGAGAAUCGGCUUCGAGAAGAGCUGCGGCAGGAGUGGGAAGCCAAGCAGGAGAAGAUCAAGAGUGAGGAGAUCGAGAUCACCUUCAGCUACUGGGAUGGCUCUGGGCACCGGCGGACAGUCAAGGUAGGCAGCGUGCAGCCUGCUUCCUGCUCACCAUGGGCCCAGCCUCCCUCAGGUUCCGUGGGAAGGAACUGACCUUCCUGACUUGGGAAGCCCCAGGGAUCCUGAGGAUAACUGGCUCCAGGGCCUGGCCCCCUGUCUGGGGAGUGAGGCCCAGGCCUGGCUGAGGCUCUGCAGUGUCUGG